Gadus morhua (Atlantic cod) is the source of this 1574-nucleotide long non-coding RNA. RefSeq lists it as uncharacterized. The record is from RefSeq and is a predicted model, not a curated record. The transcript has 2 exons. NCBI's taxonomy places the organism in Eukaryota, Metazoa, Chordata, Actinopteri, Gadiformes, Gadidae.
CCUAUUGGUCCUGUCCCCGUCGUGAUGCCGCUGUACAGCUGAACGUACCGUCUUUCGGUUGAGCGAUGGACACUUUUGGUCAUCUGAAGGUGUGCAUUUGUAUCUCAACAGUUUACUUUUGAUACAACAUUUCUACGAGAGAGCAGAUAUUUAUGUUAGUUAUGGAACAUGGAAACAACCUCAAAUGGCUGUUUCAGGUUAUGGGUUCCUCAGGAGCAUCUCUUCAUGGUGCUCCACCUAGAUCACUCAGGUCCUGUGGCACUGGCCUCUUAGUUACCUAUGCCCCCCCCCCCCCCCCUCUGGAACAGCCUGCCAGAGGAGCUGAGGACAUCACAAUCUGUGGACAUCACAAUCUGUGAACACAUUUAAAGGUCCCAUGGCAUGAAAAUCACUUCACUUCAUGAGGUUUUCUAACAUUAACAUGAGUUCCCCUAGCCUGCCUAUGGUCCCCCAGUAUCUAGAAAUGGCGUUUGGUGUAAAACGAGCACUAGUUAUCCUGCUCCGCCUUUGAUUAAUGAAAGCUCAGACGCUCAGAUUUUGAAUUUGGCCCCAUAUGUCUUCAUAAGGUGCCAAGUUACCUCCUCUGCCUUGCCCGCCCAGAGAAUUUGGCCCGCCAAUGAGGUGUGUGUGUCUGUGUCUGUGUGUGUGUGUGUGUGUGUGUGUGUGUGUAAUUUCUUGAACGUCUUCCAGUACUGUAUUAGGGCCCCACUAACGGCUACAUAAAACCAUCAAUAAAGUAGCAUGCCAUAGUUUCUUUAAAAUAAACCUUAAAACAUAACUAGUUCGGCAUUCUCUUAUUCUAUUUUAUUUAGUUUUGUUUAUUUCUACUUUAUUGUUAAGCACCACACAAUAGCCAGGGGCUGCUGGAGGCCAUAGAGGCGGGGGAGGUUCACCCCUUAGACGGGGGGGGGGGCUGACUGAGUGAGAGACUGUGUAGGCUACAAAGAAGUUUAUCAUGUUGAUGAGUUUUUCGAUUCGUUUAUUUAUUUGACAAGUCGUUUGCUUGCCAUAACUUUCUCGUUGUGUUUCAAUGUUAUUGAGAUUUGGUCAAUUCAAUUAAUAAAGUUGUAUUCAAUCGUUGCUUUGAUUUCAGUCCAUGGUUAAAAGUGGAACUUAAGGUUCAAGAUGUUCAGUCUCCCCUCACGUCAAUCACCACAGGUCCACAGCACCACGUUCAGUGUGGCCAACUUAGCGAUUUUGUCGCUAUAUUUAGCGACUUUUCAGACGCCUUUUUUUUUUUUUUAAAGCGACAAGCGACAAAUCUAGCUUAUUUUUCUGUUAUUGGUGACUUUUGGCGACUUUUUGAGGUGAAAGCACGUAGGCCUAUCGCUAUUAUCUCUUUACAACGAGCAGCGGGUGCUGGCGCGGCCCCUCCCCCGUCUCAAAGCACUUACAGGCGGCCCAGUCCUCGCGCAGCAGUCCCUCCCAGCUGCUCUGUUAGCAGGAGCUAACAGGAGACGUUCACGCCUCGGCAUCCGGGCUGCAAAUGAAUCCGAGUCCCGGCCAGCAAGCCGCCGCCGAUUGAUCCCGCCCCCUGAUGUACAGUCAGGGCGGGAUAAUGUAAUAUUUUCUUU